UCGUGGGGUGACACUGUACUUUUGAAAGUUGUGGAGCGAAAAUUUGUUCCGUAGAGCGUACCCUGUCAUUAUUAGUACUUUCAUUUCGACUUUACCAACAUUUCUACACUUCUCUCUGCUUCAUUUAAAUAAUUAUUGGCUGGUUACCUGAUUGAAAGAAUAGUGGCUUACGGCACAUACGUCACAGACGAUUAAUAAUCGAUGGUUCAAACUGGUAGGAAAUGAACGCCACAGAUGAUUAAUAACCAUUUGAUUUCCCAUGCAGAUUUGGUAAAGGUUAAGUUAUUAUAAUAAAGCAGACGUAUGUACACGACAAUUUUUUUUUUUUUAUUGGAUCAAUGGUAAUCAAUAUUUGUUAUAUAAUUGUUAUACGAGUUACGAUUGAUAUAUAAUGAUAUCAUUCUAUAAAAUAAUUGCAUAAUUUGUUAAAGAUCUUAAGAUUUAAA
Bombus pascuorum is the source of this 446-nucleotide long non-coding RNA. RefSeq lists it as uncharacterized. The record is from RefSeq and is a predicted model, not a curated record. Lineage: Eukaryota; Metazoa; Arthropoda; Insecta; Hymenoptera; Apidae. The transcript is spliced from 2 exons.